RNAcentral lists this small RNA (141 nucleotides) under Arabidopsis thaliana (thale cress). Its description in RNAcentral is "ATSL248750". Lineage: Eukaryota; Viridiplantae; Streptophyta; Magnoliopsida; Brassicales; Brassicaceae. The record is from RNAcentral.
UCACAACAUACAGUAAAUAUACCUAGUAUAUAUAGUUUCAACGGUUCAAGAUUCAAAAUAUCGUCUUAAACAGCGACCAGAUAUUCUUGAACCUCCAAAACGAUCUAAUUUUAAUAAAUUGGUGAAUGAAAUCGAUUUAUU